AGUCUCUCUCAAAUUGAAGACAAUUCUCAUGUUGCAGUCUCCCACAUGCCGCAGGAAAUUCCUUACAGUUCCAGAAGCUGGUCAGUCCAAGGUAUCCCCUCUUUGGUGAAAGCAUUUGUCACCAUGGCAUCUCAUGGCAAAGGACAGAUGGCUUUCACUGAAUGUGGAGGGCAUCAACUGUCCGGAGCAGCUGACUAGGACUUCUCUACCCUCCCAGCACUGGUUUCCGGAUGUGCUGCCACAGCAAGCACUUUAAGCACUGGGCCAUCUCCCCAGCACCUUAAAUAUGUCUUAAUUCUUAAAUUCCUUAAGUACUUUUUCCUUUCUGAGUUUCUUUCAAGAGGCCCAACCUUUCUUCCCCUUAAACCUGAAAAUUUUGUUUUUCUCAAAUUUACUUCAAAUGGAUUUUAAGUAUACCUACCAUUCUUUCCUUUGCUAUUAUAUAAACUUCAAGAUGGCAAAGCA
Molecule: long non-coding RNA, 465 nt
Organism: Peromyscus leucopus (white-footed mouse)
Lineage: Eukaryota; Metazoa; Chordata; Mammalia; Rodentia; Cricetidae
Exons: 2
Source: RefSeq, a predicted model, not a curated record